Molecule: ribosomal RNA, 253 nt
Filed under: uncultured bacterium
Lineage: Bacteria
Description: partial 16S ribosomal RNA
Rfam family: Bacterial small subunit ribosomal RNA
Source: RNAcentral
UACGUAGGGUGCGAGCGUUGUCCGGAAUUAUUGGGCGUAAAGAGCUCGUAGGCGGUUUGUCACGUCUGCUGUGAAAUCCCGAGGCUCAACCUCGGGCCUGCAGUGGGUACGGGCAGACUGGAGUGCGGUAGGGGAGAAUGGAAUUCCUGGUGUAGCGGUGGAAUGCGCAGAUAUCAGGAGGAACACCGAUGGCGAAGGCAGUUCUCUGGGCCGUAACUGACGCUGAGGCGCGAAAGCUAGGGGAGCGAACGGG